This 78-nucleotide transfer RNA is filed under the name uncultured bacterium. Its description in RNAcentral is "tRNA-His". It matches the Rfam family "tRNA". Rfam says of the family: Transfer RNA (tRNA) molecules are approximately 80 nucleotides in length. Their secondary structure includes four short double-helical elements and three loops (D, anti-codon, and T loops). The record is from RNAcentral.
GUGGUUAUAGCUCAAUUUGGUUAGAGCGCCAAUCUGUGGAGUUGGAGGUUAUGAGUUCAAGCCUCAUUAAUCACCCCA